GUUGUAUGGUUAAGUGACUAAGCGUACAUGGUGGAUGCCUUGGCAGUCAGAGGCGAUGAAGGACGUACUAACCUGCGAUAAGCCGUGAGCAGUCGGUAAGAGACAUUACGACUCACGGAUUUCCGAAUGGGGAAACCCACUUAGCAUAAGCUAGGUAUCGCUGCGUGAAUACAUAGCGUAGCGAGGCGAACCGGGAGAACUGAAACAUCUAAGUACCCCGAGGAAAAGAAAUCAACCGAGAUUCCCUCAGUAGCGGCGAGCGAACGGGGAUUAGCCCUUAAGCAUCUUGGAAGUUAGUGGAACGGUCCUGGAAAGGCCGGCGAUACAGGGUGAUAGCCCCGUACACGAAAACAACCUUGAUGUGAAAUCGAGUAGGGCGGGACACGUGACAUCCUGUCUGAAUAUGGGGGGACCAUCCUCCAAGGCUAAAUACUCCUGACUGACCGAUAGUGAACCAGUACCGUGAGGGAAAGGCGAAAAGAACCCCUGUGAGGGGAGUGAAAUAGAACCUGAAACCGUGUACGUACAAGCAGUGGGAGCCCUUCGGGGUGACUGCGUACCUUUUGUAUAAUGGGUCAGCGACUUACAUUUUGUAGCGAGGUUAACCGUAUAGGGGAGCCGUAGGGAAACCGAGUCUUAACUGGGCGUCUAGUUGCAAGGUGUAGACCCGAAACCGGGUGAUCUAGCCAUGGGCAGGUUGAAGGUUGAGUAACAUCAACUGGAGGACCGAACCCACUAACGUUGCAAAGUUAGGGGAUGACCUGUGGCUGGGGGUGAAAGGCCAAUCAAACUCGGAGAUAGCUGGUUCUCCCCGAAAGCUAUUUAGGUAGCGCCUCGGACGAAUACUACUGGGGGUAGAGCACUGUUUGGGCUAGGGGGUCAUCCCGACUUACCAACCCCAUGCAAACUCCGAAUACCAGUAAGUAAUAUCCGGGAGACACACGGCGGGUGCUAACGUCCGUCGUGAAGAGGGAAACAACCCAGACCGCCGGCUAAGGUCCCAAAGUUCUGGUUAAGUGGGAAACGAUGUGGGAAGGCUCAGACAGCUAGGAUGUUGGCUUAGAAGCAGCCAUCAUUUAAAGAAAGCGUAAUAGCUCACUAGUCGAGUCGGCCUGCGCGGAAGAUGUAACGGGGCUCAAACCAGGCACCGAAGCCGCGGAUUCACGCUAAGCGUGAGUGGUAGGGGAGCGUUCUGUAAGUCUGCGAAGGUGUGUCGAGAGGCAUGCUGGAGAUAUCAGAAGUGCGAAUGCUGACGUAAGUAACGAUAAAGGGGGUGAAAAGCCUCCUCGCCGGAAGACCAAGGGUUCCUGUCCAACGUUAAUCGGGGCAGGGUGAGUCGACCCCUAAGGCGAGGCCGAAAGGCGUAGUCGAUGGGAAGCAGGUUAAUAUUCCUGCACGACUUGUAAUUGCGAUGGGGGGACGGAGAAGGCUAGGUGGGCCAGGCGACGGUUGUCCUGGUGAAAGUGCGUAGGUGGUGUUUCUAGGCAAAUCCGGAGACACAACACUGAGACACGAGACGAACACACUACGGUGUGGAAGCCAUUGAUGCCCUGCUUCCAGGAAAAGCCUCUAAGCUUCAGAUUACAAGUCAUCGUACCCCAAACCGACACAGGUGGUCGGGUAGAGAAUACCAAGGCGCUUGAGAGAACUCGGGUGAAGGAACUAGGCAAAAUAGAACCGUAACUUCGGGAGAAGGUUCGCUCUUGACAGUGAAGUCCCUUGCGGAUGGAGCAGUUGGGAGUCGCAGUGACCAGAUGGCUGGGACUGUUUAUCAAAAACACAGCACUCUGCAAACACGAAAGUGGACGUAUAGGGUGUGACACCUGCCCGGUGCCGGAAGGUUAAUUGAUGGGGUUAGCGCAAGCGAAGCUCUUGAUCGAAGCCCCGGUAAACGGCGGCCGUAACUAUAACGGUCCUAAGGUAGCGAAAUUCCUUGUCGGGUAAGUUCCGACCUGCACGAAUGGUGUAACCAUGGCCAUGCUGUCUCCACCCGAGACUCAGUGAAAUCGAAUUCGCCGUGAAGAUGCGGUGUACCCGCGGCUAGACGGAAAGACCCCGUGAACCUUUACUACAGCUUGGCACUGAACAUUGAACCUACAUGUGUAGGAUAGGUGGGAGGCUUUGAAGGCGUGACGCCAGUUGCGCUGGAGCCGUCCUUGAAAUACCACCCUUGUAUGUUUGAUGUUCUAACGCAGGCCCAUGAAUCUGGGUCGCGGACAGUGCCUGGUGGGUAGUUUGACUGGGGCGGUCUCCUCCCAAAGAGUAACGGAGGAGCACGAAGGUUGGCUAAUCCUGGUCGGACAUCAGGAGGUUAGUGCAAUGGCAUAAGCCAGCUUAACUGCGAGACGGACAGGUCGAGCAGGUACGAAAGUAGGUCAUAGUGAUCCGGUGGUUCUGAAUGGAAGGGCCAUCGCUCAACGGAUAAAAGGUACUCCGGGGAUAACAGGCUGAUACCGCCCAAGAGUUCAUAUCGACGGCGGUGUUUGGCACCUCGAUGUCGGCUCAUCACAUCCUGGGCUGAAGUCGGUCCCAAGGGUAUGGCUGUUCGCCAUUUAAAGUGGUACGCGAGCUGGGUUCAGAACGUCGUGAGACAGUUCGGUCCCUAUCUGCCGUGGGCGUUGGAUGAUUGAAGGGAGUUGCUCCUAGUACGAGAGGACCGGAGUGAACGAACCUCUGGUGUUCGGGUUGUCACGCCAGUGGCACUGCCCGGUAGCUAAGUUCGGAAUCGAUAACCGCUGAAAGCAUCUAAGCGGGAAGCGAGCCCUGAGAUGAGUCAUCCCUGACCCCUUGAGGGUCCUAAAGGGCCGUUGGAGACCACAACGUUGAUAGGUGGGGUGUGUAAGCGCGGCGACGUGUUGAGCUAACCCAUACUAAUUACCCGUGAGGCUUAACCAUACAACACCCAAGAAGUGUUCU
Molecule: ribosomal RNA, 2916 nt
Filed under: Aeromonas hydrophila
Lineage: Bacteria; Pseudomonadati; Pseudomonadota; Gammaproteobacteria; Aeromonadales; Aeromonadaceae
Description: 23S ribosomal RNA
Rfam family: Bacterial large subunit ribosomal RNA
Source: RNAcentral